Ornithorhynchus anatinus (platypus) is the source of this 138-nucleotide small nucleolar RNA. NCBI's taxonomy places the organism in Eukaryota, Metazoa, Chordata, Mammalia, Monotremata, Ornithorhynchidae. The record is from RefSeq and is a predicted model, not a curated record.
CCCCUCUCGUGAUGGCACCUGGAGAGUUUCCAGUACCCUACCAGUCUUGGCUAUGGGAGGGAAAGUCAAGGAGAGCCAUACCCAUUCCAUUCCUAGCUUGCAUAGUAGCUAGGGAGUGGAAGGCAAUAUGCUACAAGU